GGAGGUGCCAUAGCUCAGUGGUAGAGCAUCAGUUUGGCAUGCGGAAGGUCACACGAUCGAUCCCUGGUGUUUCCA
This 75-nucleotide transfer RNA is filed under the name Sphaerodactylus townsendi. RNAcentral's name for it is "tRNA-Ala". It matches the Rfam family "tRNA". From Rfam's summary of the family: Transfer RNA (tRNA) molecules are approximately 80 nucleotides in length. Their secondary structure includes four short double-helical elements and three loops (D, anti-codon, and T loops). The record is from RNAcentral. Lineage: Eukaryota; Metazoa; Chordata; Lepidosauria; Squamata; Sphaerodactylidae.